RNAcentral lists this ribosomal RNA (467 nucleotides) under uncultured bacterium. Its description in RNAcentral is "partial 16S ribosomal RNA". It matches the Rfam family "Bacterial small subunit ribosomal RNA", at positions 28 to 506 of the family's 1533-position model. The record is from RNAcentral.
GACGAACGCUGGCGGCGUGCUUAACACAUGCAAGUCGAACGGAAAGGCCCUGCUUUUGUGGGGUGCUCGAGUGGCGAACGGGUGAGUAACACGUGAGUAACCUGCCCUUGACUUUGGGAUAACUUCAGGAAACUGGGGCUAAUACCGGAUAGGAGCUCCUGCUGCAUGGUGGGGGUUGGAAAGUUUCGGCGGUUGGGGAUGGACUCGCGGCUUAUCAGCUUGUUGGUGGGGUAGUGGCUUACCAAGGCUUUGACGGGUAGCCGGCCUGAGAGGGUGACCGGCCCCAUGGGGACUGGGAUCCGCCCCAGACCCCCCCGGGGGGCAGCGGGGGGGAAUUUUGCACAAGGGGCGGAGGCCUGAUGCAGAAACGCCGCGUGCGGGAUGACGGCCUUCGGGUUGUAAACCGCUUUCGCCUGUGACGAAGCGGGGGUGACGGGAAUGGGGAAAGAAGCACCGGCUAACUACGU